Molecule: ribosomal RNA, 433 nt
Filed under: uncultured bacterium
Lineage: Bacteria
Description: partial 16S ribosomal RNA
Rfam family: Bacterial small subunit ribosomal RNA
Source: RNAcentral
AACGAACGCUGGCGGCAUGCCUAACACAUGCAAGUCGAACGAGACCUUCGGGUCUAGUGGCGCACGGGUGCGUAACGCGUGGGAACCUGCCCUUAGGUUCGGAAUAACUCUUCGAAAGGGGUGCUAAUACCGGAUAAUGUCUUCGGACCAAAGAUUUAUCGCCCUUGGAUGGGCCCGCGUUGUAUUAGCUAGUUGGUAGGGUAAAAGCCUACCAAGGCGACGAUCCAUAGCUGGUCUGAGAGGAUGAUCAGCCACACUGGGACUGAGACACGGCCCAGACUCCUACGGGAGGCAGCAGUGGGGAAUAUUGGACAAUGGGCGAAAGCCUGAUCCAGCAAGGCCGCGUGAGUGAUGAAGGCCUUAGGGUUGUAAAGCUCUUUUACACGGGAUGAUAAUGACAGUACCGGGAGAAUAAGCUCCGGCUAACUCCGUG